Long non-coding RNA from Cololabis saira (Pacific saury), 465 nucleotides. RefSeq lists it as uncharacterized. The transcript is spliced from 3 exons. Lineage: Eukaryota; Metazoa; Chordata; Actinopteri; Beloniformes; Belonidae. The record is from RefSeq and is a predicted model, not a curated record.
GCCAUCAAUUUUGUCUAGAAGAGGAAACGACGCAGUUUAAAUGACUCCCACCCCCACCCCCCCUCUCAGCGCGAUGGGUUCUUCCAUGAUGGACUCCUUCUGCGGACGAUAAAAUUCACCGCUGUUUCACAUUAAACUGGGUUUCCGAGCAGAACGCUGGACCUUUGAUGGUUUCUCCUGUAAAAUAUCUGCUUGGCGUUGUGGGGGCUGUUGGUGGCUGUGAAGGGUGAUUGGGUUAAGUUUGGGCGUCACUUUAAUGUUGCUUUAGGAGCAGCAGCAGCAGCAGGAAGCUGCUGUAGAUGGUUCUGGCUCUGUGACCGGACCCGCAGGUUCCAGGUUCCAGGUUCCAGGUCCAGGUUCCACCAGAAAGACCAAAGUUCUGUCCGGGAGGAAAAAGUCACCCUGGAGAAACGCCACACUAGUUAAAGAACAGAGAAGGAUAUGUAGACAAGCAGAACGCAGGUG